GAUGAACGCUGGCGGCGUGCCUAAUACAUGCAAGUCGAGCGAACCACUUCGGUGGUGAGCGGCGAACGGGUGAGUAACACGUAGGUGAUCUGCCCAUCAGACGGGGACAACGAUUGGAAACGAUCGCUAAUACCGGAUAGGACGAAAGUUUAAAGGUGCUUCUGGCACCGCUGAUGGAUGAGCCUGCGGGGCAUUAGCUAGUUGGUAGGGUAAAGGCCUACCAAGGCGACGAUGCGUAGCCGACCUGAGAGGGUGAACGGCCACACUGGGACUGAGACACGGCCCAGACUCCUACGGGAGGCAGCAGUAGGGAAUCUUCGGCAAUGGGCGAAAGCCUGACCGAGCAACGCCGCGUGAAUGAUGAAGGCCUUCGGGUUGUAAAAUUCUGUUAUAAGGGAAGAACGACUUCAGUAGGAAAUGGCUAGAGUGUGACGGUACCUUAUGAGAAAGCCACGGCUAACUACGUGCCAGCAGCCGCAGUAA
Molecule: ribosomal RNA, 483 nt
Filed under: uncultured bacterium
Lineage: Bacteria
Description: partial 16S ribosomal RNA
Rfam family: Bacterial small subunit ribosomal RNA
Source: RNAcentral